Molecule: ribosomal RNA, 173 nt
Filed under: uncultured bacterium
Lineage: Bacteria
Description: partial 16S ribosomal RNA
Rfam family: Bacterial small subunit ribosomal RNA
Source: RNAcentral
CCUACGGGAGGCAGCAGUGGGGAAUUUUGCGCAAUGGGCGAAAGCCUGACGCAGCGACGCCGCGUGAGGGAUGAAGGUCUUCGUGAUCGUAAACCUCUGUCAGGAAGGAUUAAGUGUAUACGUGCCAAUACCACGUAUGCUUGACUUAACUUCCAGAGGAGUCCCGCAANACG